CCACAACCAGUUGCUUCAGAUGAAGAUAAGAAAGCCUACAGUGAGAGACUAUGGAAUAAACUGUUUAUACAGGAAAGAGAGCCACAAGUGCACACCAAUGAAAUGCAGGUGUUGAAUAAAAAUCCCACCACUGUAUGCAUGAGCAAUCUGUUUUCUGAUGCUGGGACCUGGGUCACAAUCCACAGAGUGAAUAUCUCCGGCAUUUCUUCUCUAGUUGCUGAUAAUCUCUUGGGAGUAGAAACCAGCAUGAUUCCACUGCACUGGGAAAGGCAGGAUUUCAGGAAGCCAUGCAAGCAAUGUUCACCUCCUACGAAUACCAGAACUCAGCU
This is a long non-coding RNA of Mauremys reevesii (Reeves's turtle), 329 nucleotides long. RefSeq lists it as uncharacterized. NCBI's taxonomy places the organism in Eukaryota, Metazoa, Chordata, Testudines, Geoemydidae. The record is from RefSeq and is a predicted model, not a curated record. The transcript has 3 exons.